AGUGAACGCUGGCGGUAGGCCUAACACAUGCAAGUCGAACGGCAGCACAGUAAGAGCUUGCUCUUACGGGUGGCGAGUGGCGGACGGGUGAGGAAUACAUCGGAAUCUACUUUUUCGUGGGGGAUAACGUAGAGAAACUUACGCUAAUACCGCAUACGACCUACGGGUGAAAGCAGGGGAUCUUCGGACCUUGCGCGACUGAAUGAGCCGAUGUCGGAUUAGCUAGUUGGCGGGGUAAAGGCCCACCAAGGCGACGAUCCGUAGCUGGUCUGAGAGGAUGAUCAGCCACACUGGAACUGAGACACGGUCCAGACUCCUACGGGAGGCAGCAGUGGGGAAUAUUGGACAAUGGGCGCAAGCCUGAUCCAGCCAUACCGCGUGGGUGAAGAAGGCCUUCGGGUUGUAAAGCCCUUUUGUUGGGAAAGAAAAGCAGCAGGUUAAUACCCCGCUGUUCUGACGGUACCCAAAGAAUAAGCACCGGCUAACUUCGUG
This 492-nucleotide ribosomal RNA is filed under the name uncultured bacterium. RNAcentral's name for it is "partial 16S ribosomal RNA". It matches the Rfam family "Bacterial small subunit ribosomal RNA", at positions 29 to 507 of the family's 1533-position model. The record is from RNAcentral.